AUUGAACGCUGGCGGCAUGCUUUACACAUGCAAGUCGAACGGUAACAGGCCUUCGGGUGCUGACGAGUGGCGAACGGGUGAGUAAUGCAUCGGAACGUACCCAGAGGUGGGGGAUAACGCAGCGAAAGCUGUGCUAAUACCGCAUGUGAUCUGAGGAUGAAAGCGGGGGACCGAGCAGCAAUGUUUGGCCUCGCGCCUUUGGAGCGGCCGAUGUCGGAUUAGCUAGUUGGUGGGGUAAAGGCCUACCAAGGCGACGAUCCGUAGCUGGUGUGAGAGGACGACCAGCGACACGAGGACUGAGACACGGCCCAGACGCCUACGGGAGGCAGCAGUGGGGAAUGUUGGACAAUGGGGGCGAGCCUGAUCCAGCAAUGCCGCGUGCGGGAAGAAGGCCUUCGGGUUGGGAACAGCUUUUGGCAGGAACGAAACGGUGUCCGCUAAUACCGGGCGCUAAUGACGGUACCUGCAGAAUAAGCACCGGCUAACUACGUG
RNAcentral lists this ribosomal RNA (492 nucleotides) under uncultured bacterium. RNAcentral describes it as "partial 16S ribosomal RNA". It matches the Rfam family "Bacterial small subunit ribosomal RNA", at positions 29 to 507 of the family's 1533-position model. The record is from RNAcentral.